Molecule: long non-coding RNA, 190 nt
Organism: Vigna unguiculata (cowpea)
Lineage: Eukaryota; Viridiplantae; Streptophyta; Magnoliopsida; Fabales; Fabaceae
Source: RefSeq, a predicted model, not a curated record
GUAUAUAAAGCAAGGUUGAAGAUGAUGUUCUAUACCAAAAUGGAUUCUUCAAGAAAAUAUUCUCUGACAUUGGCAUUCUUAUUGGCUUUUUUCAUCAUUUCUUCAGAUAUGAUGAUGAAAUCUGAGGCAGAAUUGUCAGAGAUUACAGAUGCGCGUUGUAGCAAAGACUCAGAUUGUAAAAAAUAUUGUC